GAUACCCGCUGAACUUAAGCAUAUCAAUA
Molecule: ribosomal RNA, 29 nt
Filed under: Tuber zhongdianense
Lineage: Eukaryota; Fungi; Ascomycota; Pezizomycetes; Pezizales; Tuberaceae
Description: partial 28S ribosomal RNA
Source: RNAcentral